UGGGGAAUAUUGCACAAUGGGCGCAAGCCUGAUGCAGCGACGCCGCGUGCGGGAUGGAGGCCUUCGGGUUGUAAACCGCUUUUGUUCAAGGGCAAGGCACGGCUUCGGGCCGUGUUGAGUGGAUUGUUCCGAAUAAGCACCGGCUAACUACCGUGCCAGCAGCCCGCGGUAAUCACAUACU
This 181-nucleotide ribosomal RNA is filed under the name uncultured bacterium. Its description in RNAcentral is "partial 16S ribosomal RNA". It matches the Rfam family "Bacterial small subunit ribosomal RNA", at positions 355 to 531 of the family's 1533-position model. The record is from RNAcentral.